AGAGAUGACCAGUCCCGGAAAGUGCUUGCUGGUGACUGGACCUCCGUUGUCAAGAAAAGCAUGAGGGCUGAUAUAACAAGAGAGAGCCCAAUGUCCAUACCAUACCGCACAUUGCAAUUCUCCUAUGGCCGAUCAACUUGCCUCUUCUUCUUCCUUGCCUCCUUCAUGGAGAUAUGAUGUGUUUUUGAGUUUUAGAGGAGAGGACACACACACGAAUUUUACAGAUCAUUAUACAAAGCUUUGGUCGAUAAGGGAAUCAACACCUUCAUUGAUCACCAACUUACACGAGGAGAAGAAAUAUCACUAGCGCUCCUCCAAGCAAUUGAAGAGUCAAGAAUUUCUCUUGUCAUAUUCUCUAAAAACUAUGCAUCUUCAAGGUGGUGCUUAGAUGAGCUCGUCAAGAUUCGUCAAUGUAAAAAAUCAAAGCAACAAAUAGUUUUGCCAGUUUUUUACAAGGUGGAUCCGUCCCAUGUACGAAAUCAAACGAGUAGUUUCGGUGUCGGGUUUACAAAACUUCAGGGCAAAUUCAAGGACAACAAGAAGAAGGUGCUCAUGUGGAGGAGAGCUCUUAGAGAAGUAGCAAAUUUGUCAGGACAUCUGGUCAAGGAGGAAGGCUAUGAAGCUACAAUAAUCAGUAACAUUGUUAAAGAGAUCUCAGUCCGAGUACUUGAUGGCACCUAUUUGAAUGUGGCCAAACACCCUGUUGGAAUACAAUCUUGCGUACAAGAGGUGAAAGAGCUUUUAGGGGUCGAUGGAAAUGGUGGUUGUGUGGUUGGGAUUUGGGGGACAUCUGGAAUAGGCAAGACAACAAUUGCAAAAGCUGUUUAUAAUGCAAUUGCUCAUAAUUUUGAAGGUAGUUGUUUCCUGGCAGAUGUUCGAGAAACAUCAAUGCAACAUGGAGGCCUAACCCAACUACAAAACACUCUUCUAAGUGAGAUUAAUCGUGGUUCAAAGUCGAAAGUUGUCAAUACUCAUCAAGGAAAGAGCCUUAUAGAGAAUUUGUUGAGGCGAAAGAAGAUUCUCUUAAUUCUUGAUGAUGUGGAUGAAUUGGAGCAAUUAAACAACUUGGCUGAAGUCGAAUGGAUUGGUGAGGGUAGUAGAGUGAUCAUAACCACAAAAGAUAGAGGAUUGCUGGAAUCUUAUGGAGUUAAGUUCAUCUACAAGGUCCGAAAGUUAAAUGACGACGAAGCUCUGGAGCUUUUAAGUUUGAAUGCCUUUGGAAGAAAUGAACCUCCAGACAAUUAUUUCGAACUCGUACAACGUGUAGUAGCCUAUGCUCAAGGCCGUCCUUCAGCUCUUAAUUGUAUAGGUUCUCAUCUGCGUAAGAAAAGUAUAAAUCGUUGGCAAGUUAUAUUGGAUAUUUGCGAUUCUUGCAAAGGAGAACCUUACAAUGAUAUUCAAACAGUACUUCAAAAAAGUCGUGAUGACUGGGAUGAUGUCAUGUAACAAGUUAGUUUUGAUAUGUCAUACAGUGACAUCAGACAAUUGAAGGAAUUUAAGAAUUUGGCAAAGUUUACAUCUAUGAAUUUCAGAGGUUGCAAAUUCUUAGAAAAAAUCCCCGACUUAUCCGGAAGCCCAAAUCUAAAGCACUUGGUACUAAGUGAGUGUAAAAGUUUGGUUGAGGUUGAUGAUUUUGUUGGAUUCCUUGAUAAACUUGUUUACUUGAAUCUUAAUGGGUGCUCUAAGCUUACGAGGUUUGCAACAAGACUUGGGUUGAGAUCCCUUGAAUGGCUUUAUCUCAAAGGUUGCACAAGGCUCGAGAGAUUCCCAAAAAUAGAAGAGGGCAAGAUGGAAUCUCUAACGGACUUGGAUAUACAACAAAGUGGCAUAAGAGAAUUGCCUUCAUCAAUUGCGUAUCUUAUUGGGCUUCAAAGAUUGAAAGCAAAUGAAUGUGUGAACCUUACAGGUACAUCAUUACAUCAUAUAUAUGGGUUGCAAGAUCUGAUUCAGGUUUACUUUGGUGAAUGCCCAAAACUCGUGACAUUUGGGAAGAAUAAGGUGAAGUUUGAUGAAGUUUCAUCUUGCAAUACCCAAUCUCUGCUGCAUUCAACUGACUUAGAUACUUCAGAUGACAACUCUAUCACAUUAGCCCUUCCCAACCUAUUUGAUCUUGAUUUGGGAGGAUGCAAUUUAUCUGAAAGUGAUUUCCUUGUGCCUCUUGGUUGCUGGUUCGCAUUAGCAAGCCUUGAUCUGUCAAGAAACAAUUUUGUUAGUCUUCCGGAUUGCAUUAGCAAAUUUGUCAACUUAAUGAAACUAAGAUUGAGUGGUUGCAGGAGGCUUCAAAAAAUUCCACAAGUCCUUCCACCAAGCUUAUGUGGCUUAUAUCUGGAUGAUUGCACAUCAUUGGAGAAAAUUCCAAAAUUGCCCCCGAUGCUUGAGCGUUUGGAGUUGACUAAUUGCAUUAAACUAAGUGGCGAUGAAGUGGCAAAGUUGAAAAACAAUUGGUUGAAUGAGGAAUCUCUUCAGCUCGCUGACUUGCAAGUUAUUCUGCCAGGCAAUAAAGUUCAAAAGUGGCCAGGCUAUACCCCUUGCCCAUCUUACAACCACUGAACAUCUAUCAGAAAAUGAAUUUGGUUUUGAAAGUCCUCUACAUUCCCAAGGGGAUACGUUAUAUUGUUAGCUCUAUCUGUUGUUCUUGGAGCAGGAACUAAUUAUUUUGAUAAUCUUUAUAUUCUCAUCAAGGGAGUACAAAAGCUUGUACCUUAUUUAUGGGAUGAGAUGAAAAUUGAGGCAACUCGUGUGGCCCAAGUUAGUGGAUUUAGACGAUCACGAGCAGCAGGGUGAUAUUUGUCAAAGUUAUAGUUCCUUUCCCCAACUCUGCACGCAUUAUAAGUUGAUGGGUGCACCGCCUAUUGCCGAACCAAGACGAACGACUUCCCUUGUCUUUGGGAUCAAUGAGUAGUCUUGGGAAGAAGCCUUGGCCAGUUGGAUCGAUAUCGUCGAUGAUGAUAGGAUCUGCAACAACAAUGGCUUUCCUGAUCUUUGGAGCCAGCGGAUGAUCAUCUGAAACACAGGCAUAUUGAUCUCAAUUUUCCUAUUGAUAUUGAGGUGGAGCAAGAGCAACCGUCCACUUCAAUCGAUCAACAGUGAUCUCCGAUUUGUUAGGAAUUUGGGUACAUUCAUUUGCACUUUCCUGUUCUUUUAAAGUUAAGCAUUAACUUCUUAUUCUACUGUCUUGCGUUUGUCCUUCUAUUUUCUUGAUAUGUUGGUGCAACCUUUUUUAUAAACGGCUUUUCUGUUGAAUAACUUGUCCUUGUUCUGCUAUCAAAUAUGUACAUUUGAUAUAUUUAUAUUUAUGGCCAAACUUUGUAUCAUA
Non-coding RNA from Malus domestica (apple), 3316 nucleotides. The record is from RefSeq and is a predicted model, not a curated record. Lineage: Eukaryota; Viridiplantae; Streptophyta; Magnoliopsida; Rosales; Rosaceae.